CAGGGAAUAGUUUAAGUAGAACUUCAGCUUUGGGUGUUGAUAGUGG
Molecule: transfer RNA, 46 nt
Filed under: Ovis aries (sheep)
Lineage: Eukaryota; Metazoa; Chordata; Mammalia; Artiodactyla; Bovidae
Description: partial tRNA-Pro
Source: RNAcentral